AUGCUCAAGAGGCUUGGCCAAGAUGAAGCAUCAUCAGUUGGCUUUCUGCUCACUGGCCAUCUGACUUCAUACUGCUGGUGUUCUGUUGAGGGAAGGAGAGAAAACAUUCACUUGGGGAGCAUCUCACUUGGAGCAAAGGCAACAACUAAUUACAACACAUGUAGAUACCUAAGAGAGGAAAUACGAUGUGGAAAAUGUGGCUUUCUUCAAAGACACCAGGAAGAUUAGUGUCAUGUCUGAAGCACCCAUUUGUGUCAAUGAAACUGCAGCAAUACACGAGUGAGUCACACAAAAGGGGCACCUUGAAGAUGAACAGCAAGGAAGCACGAGGUUAUAUUGUAAUUUGCCAGAAAAGAGCAUUUCACUAAUCAGUACCCAUAUCAUACAUUUGUAAGUAUGACUGCCUGACAGGUGAAA
This 417-nucleotide long non-coding RNA is filed under the name Mus spicilegus (steppe mouse). Its description in RNAcentral is "lncRNA (ENSMSIG00000016439.1)". Lineage: Eukaryota; Metazoa; Chordata; Mammalia; Rodentia; Muridae. The record is from RNAcentral.